CACUCCUCCCCGAAAUGGUGGAGUGUUUGCCUUGCUCCACUUUCUUCUUGAUGUUAGCCAUUCUGACAGGUGUAAGUUGGUGUGACACAGUAAUUUUGAUUUGCAUUUCCCUGUUGGGGCAAAUUCAUUUAGUUUGGCAUUCAGUUGGAGUAGUAGCAAAUUAGCCUCAAGUGAAUCAGAGACUGGAUUCCCAACUGUGGAGAGCCAGACUGUCUGCCUUUUCUCCUCCAGAGAAUGCCCAAAGAAGCCUUGCCUGAGGGUACAGAGGAUACCCUGGAAAUCCACCUAUGGAGUAUGUCAUGGAGUGAAUCUUGUUCCAGCUCUGCUGCCAGAAGUUUUCAGAAAGGUGACAGAGCCAUCCAAGAGCCUUCAUCCAGCAGCUGAUGGAAGCAGAGGCAGACACCCACAGCUAAACACUGAGCCGAACUCCCUGGAAUCCAGCUUCAGAGGGAGAGGAGUGAUGAGCAAAGUGGUCAAGACCAGGCUAGAGAAACCCACAGAAACAGCUGACGUGAACAAGGGGGAGCUCAUGGACCCCAGACUGAUAGCUGGGAAACCAGCAUUGGACCUACCCAGACCUUCUGAACGUAGGUGUCAGUUAAGAGGCCUGGGCAGUCUAUGGGGCCUCUGGUAGUGGAUCAGUAUUUAUCCCUAGUGCAUGAAUGGACUUUGGGAGCUCUCUCCACAUAGAGGAUUACUCUCUUAGCCUAGACACACUGGGGAUGGCCUAGGCCCUGACCCAAAUGAUAUUACAGACUAGGGAGCAGAAAGGGG
RNAcentral lists this long non-coding RNA (774 nucleotides) under Cricetulus griseus (Chinese hamster). RNAcentral's name for it is "lncRNA (ENSCGRG00015030187.1)". The record is from RNAcentral. Lineage: Eukaryota; Metazoa; Chordata; Mammalia; Rodentia; Cricetidae.